RNAcentral lists this ribosomal RNA (492 nucleotides) under uncultured bacterium. Its description in RNAcentral is "partial 16S ribosomal RNA". It matches the Rfam family "Bacterial small subunit ribosomal RNA", at positions 29 to 507 of the family's 1533-position model. The record is from RNAcentral.
AGUGAACGCUGGCGGUAGGCCUAACACAUGCAAGUCGAACGGCAGCACAGUAAGAGCUUGCUCUUACGGUGGGGGAGUGCCGGCCGGUUGAGGAUACAAUGGGAACUUCCUUUUUGGUGGGGGUAAAGGAAGGAAAAUUUCGCUAAUAACCCCUUCCAACUUCGGGGUAAAGCCAGGGGUUUUCCGACCCUUGCCGGUUGGAUUAGCCCGAUGUCGGAUUAGCUAGUUGGCGGGUUAAAGGCCCACCAAGGCGACGAUCCGUAGCUGGUCUGAGAGGAUGAUCAGCCACACUGGAACUGAGACACGGUCCAGACUCCUACGGGAGGCAGCAGUGGGGAAUAUUGGACAAUGGGCGCAAGCCUGAUCCAGCCAUACCGCGUGGGUGAAGAAGGCCUUCGGGUUGUAAAGCCCUUUUGUUGGGAAAGAAAAGCAGCAGGUUAAUACCCCGCUGUUCUGACGGUACCCAAAGAAUAAGCACCGGCUAACUUCGUG